AAACCCCGAAGACCACCAUAUCAACGUACUUAAUAACAUUGAUCGAUAUGGAUGAGUGGCAUGGAAAUUUCGUGCAAUGUGAUCUCUAAAUCAUGCAUAUUUCCAACUGAUCUUACUGGAGUCUUUAGUGAGAUCAAACUGAAGUUCCUUAUGUGCAAUUCAAAAUUAUAAUAUUUGCAUAUAACAAAAACUUGAUAUUGUUAUAACAAUAGUACCUCAUAAGUU
Molecule: long non-coding RNA, 225 nt
Filed under: Lathyrus oleraceus (garden pea)
Lineage: Eukaryota; Viridiplantae; Streptophyta; Magnoliopsida; Fabales; Fabaceae
Description: Pisum sativum (pea) long non-coding RNA (PSAT_LNC011586)
Source: RNAcentral